Molecule: microRNA precursor, 103 nt
Filed under: Marmota monax (woodchuck)
Lineage: Eukaryota; Metazoa; Chordata; Mammalia; Rodentia; Sciuridae
Source: RNAcentral
AGUGGGAUUGCUGGGUUAUAUGCUGGUUUCAUUGCUAGUUAUUUGAGGAAUCUCCAGACUGCUUUCCAGAGUGGUUACACUAAUUUGCAGUCCCACCAACAAU